Molecule: non-coding RNA, 235 nt
Organism: Pelobates cultripes (western spadefoot toad)
Lineage: Eukaryota; Metazoa; Chordata; Amphibia; Anura; Pelobatidae
Source: the annotation of a GenBank genome assembly
UAGAUAUAAUUUUAACAUAUCACAAAAAUACAUGAAAACAGUACAGGUACCCCACAAAAAUAUACAUAUUCCGUAAUAGACCCGAUCUGAGCGCACAGCAUAUCCAAAAAGCGCUCAGAUCGGUUCGGUAAAACGAGAGUUAUGUUUGAACAAAGUUUUGACCAGUCGACUUUCGGGGGUUCCUGUGCAUACACCAACGAAAGCUCCCCCUGGCUUUUAAGAAAUUAUUGCUUCC